CUACGGGAGGCAGCAGUGGGGAAUAUUGGACAAUGGGCGAAAGCCUGAUCCAGCGACGCCGCGUGGGUGAAGAAGGCCUGCGGGUUGUAAAGCCCUUUCGGUUGGGAAGAAAAGUAUUGACCUAACACGUCAGUACCUUGACGUAACCAACAAAAGAAGCACCGGCUAACUCUGUGCCAGCAGCCGCGGUAAUACAGAGGGUGCAAGCGUUAAUCGGAAUUACUGGGCGUAAAGCGCAGGUAGGCGGCUUGAUAAGUCGAGUGUGAAAUCCCCGGGCUUAACCUGGGACCUGCAUUUGAAACUGUCUUGCUAGAGUAUGGGAGAGGGAAGUGGAAUUUCAGGUGUAGCGGUGAAAUGGGUAGAUAUCUGAAGGAACAUCAGUGGCGAAAGCGACUUCCUGGACCAAUACUGACGCUCAGGUGCGAAAGCGUGGGGAGCAAACAGGAUUAGAUACCCUGGUAGUCCACGCCAUAAACGAUGAGAACUAGAUGUUGGGAGGAUUAGCCUCUCGGUGUCGUAGCUAACGCGUUAAGUUCUCCGCCUGGGGAGUACGGUCGCGAGGUUGAAACUCAAAUGAAUUGACG
RNAcentral lists this ribosomal RNA (584 nucleotides) under uncultured bacterium. RNAcentral describes it as "bacterial SSU rRNA". It matches the Rfam family "Bacterial small subunit ribosomal RNA", at positions 339 to 915 of the family's 1533-position model. The record is from RNAcentral.